Long non-coding RNA from Epinephelus moara (kelp grouper), 509 nucleotides. RefSeq lists it as uncharacterized. The transcript has 2 exons. The record is from RefSeq and is a predicted model, not a curated record. Lineage: Eukaryota; Metazoa; Chordata; Actinopteri; Perciformes; Serranidae.
UACAGCUGAUGCUUACAUUUUUCAUUGUUUUCAUUGUUGUGAUCAGAAUGUUUUGUUUUACACUCAAAGAGCCAAGGUGAUAUUCAGUGCAGCAACAGGAGGAGGAGAUAAAGCCAUUGGACCCUUCAACAAAGAAACAACUUUAAUCUACAGAACAGUGAUAACGAACAUUGGUAAUGCCUACAAUUCAUCUACAGGUGUCUUCGCUGCACCUGUUGCAGGUGUUUAUUACUUUUCUAUCUUCUUUCAUGCCGGAGGAGAAUACGAGGCAAAAAUAUUUUUGUACAAGAACAACGAACUCAAGGUAGGAACCCAUGAUCACCGGUCAGAUGAUGACACAGCUGAUAAUGGAGGAAAUGCCGUGUUUCUGGAGCUGGUGCCAGGAGACCAGGUGUUUGUGGCCUUGCAUGAAAACUCACAUGUUUGGGGAUCCAACAUCCACACAACCUUCAGCGGUUUUCUGGUCACUCAGAUAUGAGAGUUAUCACACUGUAUAUCUGAUGAAAGNG